CACGUAGGGCGCAAGCGUUGUCCGGAAUUAUUGGGCGUAAAGAGCGUGUAGGCGGUUUGGUAGGUCCGCUGUGAAAACUCGAGGCUCAACCUCGAGACGCCGGUGGAAACCAUCAGACUAGAGUCCGGAAGAGGAGAGUGGAAUUCCUGGUGUAGCGGUGAAAUGCGCAGAUAUCAGGAAGAACACCCGUGGCUAGGCGGCUCUCUAGUACGGUACUGACGCUGAGACGCGAAAGCGUGGGGAGCGAACAGG
RNAcentral lists this ribosomal RNA (252 nucleotides) under uncultured bacterium. RNAcentral describes it as "partial 16S ribosomal RNA". It matches the Rfam family "Bacterial small subunit ribosomal RNA", at positions 524 to 776 of the family's 1533-position model. The record is from RNAcentral.